GCACUUGGGGGAUGUAAGUUUUCAAGAAUAGGAAACAAGUACUAUUUAGGAUAAAGUUCUAGAUAAAAUAUUGAAUUAGACAAUUUAUUAUCUAUGUGUCUUGACCAAAUUACGUGCCAGCAGUCGCGGUAACACGUAGAAGACUAGUGUUAUUCAUCUUUAUUAGGUUUAAAGGGUACCUAGACUGCAGAUUUAGCCUCCAUAAGGUACAAAUUUGCUAGAGUUUUAUAUAAGAAGGUAGAAUUUUUGGAGUAGAGAUACAAUUCGUUCAUACCAAAAAGACUUAUAACAGUGAAGACAACCUUCUAGGUAAAAACUGACGUUGAGGGACGAAGGCUUGGGUAGCGAUUAGGAUUAGAUACCCUAGUAGUCCAAGCAGAAAAUUAUGAGUGUCAUAUAUUAGAAUAUAUUUAGUGUAUAAACGAAAGUGCAACCACUCCACCUUAAGAGUAAUGUGGCAACACAGAAACUGAAAUCAUUAGACCGUCUCUGAAACCAGUAAUGAAGUAUGUUAUUUAAUUCGAUAACCCCCGAAAAACCUUACCACAAUUUGUAUAUUAUUAAAUUAAUACAGGUGCUGCACGGCUGUUUUUAGUUAAUGUCGUGAGACUGUGGUUAGUUCCAUCAAUUAACGUAAACCCUUGUUUUAUUUUUAUAUAAAAUAGCUCUGCCGAUAUAAUGGUAUGUUAACAGGGAUCAAGACAAGUCAUCAUGGCCCUAA
This 721-nucleotide ribosomal RNA is filed under the name Sclerococcum glaucomarioides. RNAcentral's name for it is "mitochondrial SSU rRNA". It matches the Rfam family "Bacterial small subunit ribosomal RNA", at positions 397 to 1204 of the family's 1533-position model. The record is from RNAcentral. Lineage: Eukaryota; Fungi; Ascomycota; Eurotiomycetes; Sclerococcales; Dactylosporaceae.